Camellia sinensis is the source of this 1987-nucleotide non-coding RNA. The record is from RefSeq and is a predicted model, not a curated record. Lineage: Eukaryota; Viridiplantae; Streptophyta; Magnoliopsida; Ericales; Theaceae.
AAAUUAAGAUUUUAGUUGAAAAAUCUGCAAACUUUAAGAGAAUUUUCAAACUUGUACACUAAGGCCUUGUUUGAUUAACAUAAUUAAUAGUAAAAUGAUUAAUAAUCCCAUGAAAUAAUGUAGGAUUAGUUAUUCAAUUAAAUUAGUGAGAUAACUAUUCAUUUUAUUUUUUUUCUUUUAUAUUUGAAAUUAUGAUUCUCAGCCCCUUUCAAUAUUAAAAAUUUACCAAUUUCGUUAGAUUAAAUGUCCGCCGUAUAUGUAAUUCAAUUAAUAAAAUUUGCAAUCAAACAUGGUAUCGUGAGUCCAUGGACUAAUAAUCUCAAUCCUAUACUAAUCAAACAUGUCCUAAAUGCAAAAUAGGAAAAAUAAAGUCAGGCACAAUUGUUAAAAACCAUAUAGAAUUUUAAUCUAAUUCAAAGUUGGAAAAAUAAAAUUUGAGAUCGAUUUCAUAUCAUUUUGUAUUACAGUUUUCUAUUUUGAAUUGAAUAAAGAUUAAAUGAGAAUUAUUUCAGUAUACUAGAAAUAAUCAGUAGAACACUACUAGUCGCAAACAAAAUUUACCAGCAGGUUUACUUCAAAUGAUUAUCAUCAAAUGAUUACUGAAAAUGAAAAGUAAUUUUCCUAGGCUUACAUGCAAAAUCUCUAUAGUUCAAAUAUCUACCAUGUCCACUACUAGCUCACACACCAAUUCUACCUUUAUCAUCAGUCUUAUAAGAAGAUAGAAUAUUUUGUUAAUUGUCCGUAGCUAUAAGCUUCCAUUAAAUAAAAGGAACAAGUCUUUUAUGUACUGAAUGUUGAAGAUUUUAUGAAGAAUUAAGUGAAUGAAUAAUAAAAUGCCAUCGAGCAUUUCAUGCAUUAUAUGAAGAUUUUAUGUACAGCUUUAUGGAUAACUUGAAUUACUAGAAAUUCUUGUAAGGUGAAUGCCCAUCUACACAUUGCACACACAUCACAAACCCUUACUUGAGUGUUGAGUGUCCGAGAAAGGUACUUCACACAUUCAGAAGAAUCCAUGUUAGAUUACUGACCCGUUUCCUUACGUACACAAGGGCAGGUCAGUCUUCACCCUAGCUAGGGCUAGUCCGCACUCUCGUUACAGUGAUCUAGGUAGUUGAACUGACCUAUGUCCCAUUCUUGUCUUGACAAAUUCUAUCCCUUUCACAUCUUUUCUUAAAAAAUUCUAUUUUUCUCACAUUUGAUUCCCCUUACGUAUUUUAGUUGAAAUGAUCACACUUAUGAAUGGUAAUGUUGACACUCUUUAAGGUGUCAGAAAAGAAACUAAGUUUUACUGCUCAACAAUUUCAACAUGUAGGUAAACUUUUACCCUGAUCCUAGUCACUAAUUUCCUUAUGUCCAUAUUGUUGGCAUAUUUUUAAGAUGUACUGGUUUUGUGGUUUAUUGUAUUUCUUCAACAACUAAAUAAUAUUUUGUGUGCAGAGGUUCUCGCCCUGAUCCCAUAUGGAUAACCUGAUGAACAUUUACAUGACCAUGGAAGUUGCUUCAGGGGUUAAUAAUUUGUCACUCAAACUGUAACUUCAACCAAACUGUGCCUUCAACCAAAUUCUCGGUUGUCUGUUCUGUUCUUUUCAGAACAUGUAAAGAAACAAGUUCAAAUAUUAUUAGAAUUGUGCAGAUACAGACGAAGAUUUAGCAUGUUUGGCAUAGUGGCAGCAACUCAUGGGUUUUGAACUUUAUUGCUGCCUGCAAGUUGCAAAACCUUGCAGAAUAAUGAGUUCUGUGAUUGCGGGAGGGUGCUUCAUCUCUCAUCAGUUCUAUAUACUCUAAUAUCAGCAAGUUUUUCAGCUGUUGAAUAAUUUACGAAGGUAAUUUUAUGUCUCACCAAUUUUGAGUAAAAUCUGAUGACAUAAAUUGUUAAGAAACCUCAAUUGGACAAAGCAGUGUGUAAAUAGUGUUUCUUUGAACUAUGUUGGUAAAAGAGAUUAAUCCAAACAGAGCUCUGUUGCCUAUUCUGUUGCAACAAUUUUAUGAU